AUGUUUCUAACCAUAUUCAAGCUUGUGCCCCCAUCAGCUCCACUCCCUAAAGCACCGACAGGAACCAACAGCAAAAUUCGUCUGCGUCACAGAUGUAACAUGACCAUCGGCAAAACAAGUGCAGGGGGAGAUCACGGCUCUCUCGUCCCUCACAGAGCCUCCCUUCUCCAGCAGACAACAAGAGGGACCACCUUCGUCGCUGCUGUUCCCGUUGUUCCCCUGCUCUGCGGAUCUGGCGCUGCGGGAGGCGAGGAUGCUCCGAGGGAGCCAGCCACAGCCAGCGGAGGCUCAAGCCCCCUGCAGAGGCCAGGCUGCAGCCCUGGCGAUGGGGACGGCGGCCACGCGGUGCCCGAGCCGGUGCUGAGCCCAGCGGUUGUUGCUAAACAACCAACCCUGACUCUGGAGAUGUCAGCCAGCAAGGAACAGAGAUUAAACACUCCUGCUAGCACAUCCUGAAACUUGGGUAAGCCUCAGAAUGAUGACAGGCUAUGGAAUAAUGGUCCCUGUUGUAUGAGAAAGCAAAGUUACCACUCCACUGCAUAAUCGGGAGGCUUCCUCGGCCAGAAGGACCAAGCUCAAGGCUGGCUGUGUCCUCAGCACUUCCCGGCAGAGCUGCCAUCUUCAUUGCUGGUCACUUUAAGAAGAGAGGUGAAAAAAUAGUAUAGUGAAUGGUUAAGAGGGAAAAGUGUUCUCCACUUCCCCAUCCUCUCUCUGGAGCUGAUCUCUGCCCUCAGUCUCCCGUUUAUCCUUAACCAGUCCUUCCCAAUCCUUCUGUCCGUGCUUUCUAAUGCUGUUUCUCCUUUGGAAACCUUUACAGACCCAUCACCGAGGGCAGUCUCCAUCUCUCUGUGAGGUUACAGAGCCCGUGGCAAACUCACACUUGUGCCAACAAAAGCUGAGUUUGG
This 905-nucleotide long non-coding RNA is filed under the name Cyanistes caeruleus (blue tit). RNAcentral describes it as "lncRNA (ENSCCEG00000000265.1)". The record is from RNAcentral. Lineage: Eukaryota; Metazoa; Chordata; Aves; Passeriformes; Paridae.